RNAcentral lists this ribosomal RNA (121 nucleotides) under Bipolaris zeicola 26-R-13. The record is from RNAcentral. Lineage: Eukaryota; Fungi; Ascomycota; Dothideomycetes; Pleosporales; Pleosporaceae.
ACAUACGACCAUAGGAUUCUUGGCAUCACGGAAACCCGUCCGCUCUUCCCUAGUUAAACAGUUUACCGGCGGAUUAGUAGCCAGGUGGGUGACCACUGGCGAAUCCCCGCUGUCGUAUGUU